CAAACUCUUAGGUCAGUCCAGUGCUUUUACUGUAUUCCGCUCCAGCGGCGUGGGGAGUUACAAGCCAUUGUUCGGGGGAAUCUGUAUCUCUCCCCCCGCCCCCCCACCACCAUCGCCUGCUGGGAGGUCGCGCUGGUUAAUGAUUUCUGGGCAAGGAGCUCGGCUUCUGACGGGGGAGCCGGUCUGGCGGGGCUGCCUGAGCGAGGUGUGCUGGGACGCGCCGGGCCGGGCCAGCAGUCCCCGCCAUGGGCGAGGCGUGAGGAAGUCCUCCCGCAAGACCUGCAGGCUGCGGGGGCUCGGCAGGGGGGCUCGACGAUUGGUUACAGUUGGCAGGGAGGCAUGUCAGAGGGGGCCUCCCCAGCCCUCUCCUGCGGCCGCCUCCUCCCUUUGUCCAGCGCCGGGGACUCCGGGGAGCACCAGCCGCGCCUGCGCGCUGCGCUCCCUGCCACCGCCCCGCCGUCCCCGUCUCCCCGCUUGGGCACGGGGCUGUGCGCGACGCAGUGGACGGGUGCGGGGCUCAGCGAGGGACUCCCGGUUCCAUAGAGAUCUGGGGAGGGUGGAGGCAGCCUGCCGGGACCCCCCUGGCUCCUCGCUCCCAAGGAGUCGAGGGGAACGUCUCUACCGCGCUGCAAAGCCAGCAGUUUCAGCCGGGGGAGGCCUGCGCUGGAGUUGACUCCC
Molecule: long non-coding RNA, 678 nt
Filed under: Pan troglodytes (chimpanzee)
Lineage: Eukaryota; Metazoa; Chordata; Mammalia; Primates; Hominidae
Description: long non-coding RNA NONPTRT003602
Source: RNAcentral